CAGUGGGGAAUAUUGCACAAUGGGCGCAAGCCUGAUGCAGCCAUGCCGCGUGUAUGAAGAAGGCCUUCGGGUUGUAAAGUACUUUCAGCGAGGAGGAAGGUGUUGAGGUUAAUAACCUCAGCAAUUGACGUUACUCGCAG
Molecule: ribosomal RNA, 140 nt
Filed under: uncultured Klebsiella sp.
Lineage: Bacteria; Pseudomonadati; Pseudomonadota; Gammaproteobacteria; Enterobacterales; Enterobacteriaceae
Description: partial 16S ribosomal RNA
Rfam family: Bacterial small subunit ribosomal RNA
Source: RNAcentral